Long non-coding RNA from Corticium candelabrum, 1153 nucleotides. RefSeq lists it as uncharacterized. The transcript is spliced from 10 exons. Lineage: Eukaryota; Metazoa; Porifera; Homoscleromorpha; Homosclerophorida; Plakinidae. The record is from RefSeq and is a predicted model, not a curated record.
UUACGGUAAAUAAUUAAUUGAAACAUCGACUAGACGUUAUGUUAAUAUCAAUUCUAUGUCAAGCCAGUUAUGUAGCUUGCAGCUAAUUUUGAGUCUGUGAUUUGAUAUCAUCAAGAGUUGGAGUUUGGCCAUUGCAAAGUCGUCGUUGACUAUUGCACGUGGAGAAGGCUUGAAGGCAUCAGGCUGUGGAGCAUCAAUGACAUGCUCAUUUCCUUAUGGAUCUGGUAGUGUGACGUUGGCGUGUGGACUAGAGAAAUGGGCGUGUCAAUAGCUGUUGAAUGUCAUUCGACUGACGACUGUCAACGGCACUGAGUUCUUACAGCAAGCUCCAGACACUGAGACUGGAGAUAGUUGGGCUGAGGUGAUCGGUGAUACGAUACGACAGCUGGAGCAAGACAAAACGAUUGCGAAUCCAAUGGUUGCUGAAUGUGACAUUCGUUCAACUGCCAGGCCAUUGCUUGAUGCUCAUAAUAGUGAACUGAUAGCCGCCAUGCAAGACCCUGAUGCCGACGUUCCACUUGGCGAGCACAAGAAUGGACUGAAAACACACAAAGACUGGUUUGCUGGUUGUGAGUUAAUUGAGUGGUUGUUGUCGUGGUCGUUUGUCACAAUGAGGGAGGAAGGAUGUCAAUUAGCAAACAGUCUGUUGUGGGAAGGUUGAGUAAAGAUUCGUUCAAGAAGCAUUCGCAUUUGAAGAAGUUGGCAUUUGUGGAUGGUGUAGGAGCUGGAGAAUCUUCUAUUGGACAGACACGGACACAUCAAGCUUGCAGACUUUGGUCUUUGUAAAGAAGACAUCACGAAAGACACAACGACCAGCACCUUCUGUGGAACACCAGAAUAUCUAGCACCCGAGGUUUUAGAAGAAAGUGAUUACGUCGAGCUGUGACUGGUGGUGUGUGGGUGUGGUCAUGUAUGAGAUGAUUUUUGGUCGGCUGCCGUUUUAUAACAGAGACCAUGAAGUGUUGUUUGAGCUCAUUCUUUCUGAAGCAAUCAAGUUUUCUCAAUGAGCGUCUUCUUUGUCAAGAUCUUUGCCAGCUGGACUGCUGGGAAGGAUCCAUGGAAAAGACUUGGUGAGGUGACCGUGGUGCAUGUGAGAUUAUGGAGCAUGCCUUCUAUAGCAGCAUCAACUGCCAGGACGUUUACGAUCGAAAGG